GCAGGCUUAACACAUGCAAGUCGAGCGCCCCGCAAGGGGAGCGGCACGGGUGAGUAACACGUGGGAACGUACCCUCCGGUUCGGAAUAACUCAGGGAAACUUGAUAAUACCGAAUACGGUCGAGAGGCGAAAGAUUUAUCGCCGGAGGAUCGGCCCGCGUCCUUAGCUAGUUGGUGUGGUAACGGCGCACCAAGGCGACGAUCGGUAGCUGGUCUGAGAGUGAUCAGCCACAUUGGGACUGAGACACGGCCCAAACUCCUACGGGAGGCAGCAGUGGGAUAUUGGACAAUGGGCGCAAGCCUGAUCCAGCCAUGCCGCGUGAGUGAUGAAGGCCUUGGUUGUAAAGCUCUUUCGCUAGGGACGAUAAUGACGGUACCUAGACAAGAAGCCCCGGAACUUCGUGCCAGCAGCCGCGGUAAUACGAAGGGGGCUAGCGUUGUUCGGAAUUACUGCGUAAAGCGCGUGUAGGCGGGCUUUUAAGUCAGGGGUGAAAUGCCGAGGCUCAACCUCAACUGCCUUUGAUACUGGAAGUCUUGAGUCCGGGAGAGGUGAGUGGAACUGCGAGUGUAGGUGAAAUUCGUAGAUAUUCGCAAGAACACCAGUGGCGAAGGCGGCUCACUGGCCCGACUGACGCUGAGACGCGAAAGCGUGGGGAGCAAACAGGAUUAGAUACCCUGGUAGUCCGCUGUAAACGAUGGAUGCUAGCCGUUGGGGAGCUUGCUCUUCAGUGGCGCAGCUAACG
This 742-nucleotide ribosomal RNA is filed under the name uncultured bacterium. RNAcentral describes it as "bacterial SSU rRNA". It matches the Rfam family "Bacterial small subunit ribosomal RNA", at positions 42 to 857 of the family's 1533-position model. The record is from RNAcentral.